UACGUAGGGUGCGAGCGUUAAUCGGAAUUACUGGGCGUAAAGCGUGCGCAGGCGGUUAUAUAAGACAGAGGGGAAAUCCCCGGGCUCAACCUGGGAACUGCCUUUGUGACUGUAUAGCUUGAGUGCGGCAGAGGGGGAUGGAAUUCCGCGUGUAGCAGUGAAAUGCGUAGAGAUGCGGAGGAACACCGAUGGCGAAGGCAGCCCCCUGGGCCGACACUGACGCUCAGGCACGAAAGCGUGGGGAGCAAACAGG
Molecule: ribosomal RNA, 253 nt
Filed under: uncultured bacterium
Lineage: Bacteria
Description: partial 16S ribosomal RNA
Rfam family: Bacterial small subunit ribosomal RNA
Source: RNAcentral